Long non-coding RNA from Marmota flaviventris (yellow-bellied marmot), 828 nucleotides. RefSeq lists it as uncharacterized. The record is from RefSeq and is a predicted model, not a curated record. Lineage: Eukaryota; Metazoa; Chordata; Mammalia; Rodentia; Sciuridae.
AGUUUCGGGAUCUGGGCUCCCAGCGUCCUCCUCCUCUGGUGCCGCCUCCCCUGAUACCCCCGGGGGCAGACAUCAUGGCUGGAGGCGGCCAAAGAACGGGGUUCUCCCACUCUACCAAUUUGGAAGGAACUGGGAUGGCUGGGGCCCCUCCCAGCUGCCUCUGAAACCUCCCAAACAGAUGGGCUUGUUUUAAGAGCCAGACAGCUUGAAGCUAGGACUCCCUGAGAGGAGGCAGUUGGACAAGGGGCUUCCUAGGUAGCCUGCACCUGUUACGGGGGAGAGGAUGCAGAAGGAUCCGUUCUAUAAAAUAAGAAUUAAAACAAAAUCCACUCCUCGUGCUCACGGACCACUCUUCCAUCUGUGGUCUCUGAAGCCUCAGGACAUUUACUGGCUGCUUCUCAGCCACGUGUAUUUAUUACAGAAAAUUUGGAAGAUAUAGAAAAGUCUAAGGAAAGAAAGAUCAGCCUUAAUCUGAUCACUCAGAGAUAAACCUGGUCAUUCCGGACUCUGCCGCCGCCAGUCCCUUGGUGAGACGUGAGCGCCAUUGGCGUCCGUGGCCUCUGUUUCCGUGGCAACCCAGUAACCAUUAAUUUUCAAUUAAAGGAGACAAAAAGCUCGAUGACAGCUCCAGGUCUGCUGAAGAUGUCAAGAAUCUGUAUUAAUAUACAGCAAGAGAGCAUAAUUGUGUGUCCAUCUUCCAGAGCAGCGAAAAAUGGAGGGAUAAUUACCGGCUCGAAAGCCACUCUGUAAUUUAGUUCUUACUGUCACCACAGCCCUACACAUUAGCAUAAAUUAAAAGCAGAGUUUAUUGUUAUCAAAGUGCAUUGA